GCUCAAGAGCAGAACCACAGGGAUGCCCUAGUAACGGCGAGUGAAGCGGCAACAGCUCAAAUUUGAAAUCUGGCCCUCGGGUCCGAGUUGUAAUUUGUAGAGGAUGCUUUUGGCGCGGUGCCUUCCGAGUUCCCUGGAACGGGACGCCUUAGAGGGUGAGAGCCCCGUAUGGUUGGACACCAAGCCUCUGUAUAGCUCCUUCGACGAGUCGAGUAGUUUGGGAAUGCUGCUCUAAAUGGGAGGUAAAUUUCUUCUAAAGCUAAAUAUUGGCCAGAGACCGAUAGCGCACAAGUAGAGUGAUCGAAAGAUGAAAAGCACUUUGAAAAGAGGGUUAAAUAGCACGUGAAAUUGUUGAAAGGGAAGCGUUUGCGACCAGACCUUUUCCUAGCGGAUCAGCCGGUGUUCUCACCGGUGCACUUCGCUAGGUCUAGGCCAGCAUCGGUUUCCGUAGGGGGAUAAAAGCUCUGGGAACGUAGCUCCUCCGGGAGUGUUAUAGCCCUCUGCAUAAUACCCUUACGGGGACCGAGGACCGCGCUUCGGCAAGGAUGCUGGCGUAAUGGUCGUCAACGACCCGUCUUGAAACACGGACCAAGGAGUCGAACAUUUGUGCGAGUGUUUGGGUGUUAAACCCUCACGCGUAAUGAAAGUGAACGGAGGUGAGAGCCCUUACGGGUGCAUCAUCGACCGAUCCUGAUGUCUUCGGAUGGAUUUGAGUAAGAGCAUAACUGUUCGGACCCGAAAGAUGGUGAACUAUGCGUGGAUAGGGUGAAGCCAGAGGAAACUCUGGUGGAGGCUCGCAGCGGUUCUGACGUGCAAAUCGAUCGUCAAAUCUGCGCAUGGGGGGCGAAAGACUUAUCGAACCAUCUAGUAGCUGGUUACCGCGAGU
This 886-nucleotide ribosomal RNA is filed under the name Xylaria polymorpha. Its description in RNAcentral is "partial large subunit ribosomal RNA". It matches the Rfam family "Eukaryotic large subunit ribosomal RNA", at positions 50 to 967 of the family's 3401-position model. The record is from RNAcentral. Lineage: Eukaryota; Fungi; Ascomycota; Sordariomycetes; Xylariales; Xylariaceae.